RNAcentral lists this ribosomal RNA (429 nucleotides) under uncultured bacterium. Its description in RNAcentral is "bacterial SSU rRNA". It matches the Rfam family "Bacterial small subunit ribosomal RNA", at positions 355 to 776 of the family's 1533-position model. The record is from RNAcentral.
UGGGGAAUUUUGGACAAUGGGCGCAAGCCUGAUCCAGCUAUUCCGCGUGUGGGAUGAAGGCCCUCGGGUUGUAAACCACUUUUGUAGAGAACGAAAAGACACCUUUUAAUCACGGGUGUNGCUGACGGUACUCUAAGACUAAGCACCGGCUACCUACGUGCCCGCAGCCGCGGUAAUACGUAGGGUGCAAGCGUUAAUCGGAAUUACUGGGCGUAAAGGGUGCGCAGGCGGUUGAGUAAGACAGAUGUGAAAUCCCCGAGCUUAACUCGGGAAUGGCAUAUGUGACUGCUCGACUAGAGUGUGUCAGAGGGAGGUGGAAUUCCACGUGUAGCAGUGAAAUGCGUAGAUAUGUGGAAGAACACCGAUGGCGAAGGCAGCCUCCUGGGACAUAACUGACGCUCAGGCACGAAAGCGUGGGGAGCAAACAGG